Molecule: long non-coding RNA, 502 nt
Organism: Gordionus sp. m RMFG-2023
Lineage: Eukaryota; Metazoa; Nematomorpha; Gordioida; Chordodea; Parachordodidae
Exons: 3
Source: RefSeq, a predicted model, not a curated record
UUUUAAAUUAUUUCUAUCAUCUACUAUGAUUUUUGCAGAUUCUGAAAUGAGGAUGAAGAUUUUAUGUAUGAUAGUGAUCAUGAUACACAAUCUGAAUUAGAUGAAGAAGAAGAUAUAUUAGCUGAAACAGAUAAUAAGCUUAAGUAUUAUUUAGCUAAAAAUAAGGUUACUUAAUGGAAAAAGUUGUAAGUCAAAAUUAUAAUCAAUAUGAAAGUUUUACAAAAGAAGUUGAUAUAACUGAAUUCAAAGCAUUAUUGGGAAUUCUUUAUUUAGCUGGAAUUUUUAAAUCUAACCAUCAAAAUAUGUCUGAUUUAUGGAAAUCUGAUGGGUUUGGAAUUGAUAUAUUUAGAGUAACAAUGCCUCUUAAAAGAUUCAGAUUUCUAAUUCAUGCAAUGAGAUUUGAUGACAUAUUAACAAGAGAAGAGAGAAAUGUGGUAGACAAAGCAACACACAUUAGAUAUAAAUGUUUUUGUCAAAUAUGCAAAAUAAAUUUAUGUUUAGA